UGGAUCCAGACUUUGAUCAUGGCUCAGGACGAACGCUGGCGGCGCGCCUAACACAUGCAAGUCGAACGAGCGAGAGAGAGCUUGCUUUCUUGAGCGAGUGGCGAACGGGUGAGUAACGCGUGAGGAACCUGCCUCAAAGAGGGGGACAACAGUUGGAAACGACUGCUAAUACCGCAUAAGCCCACGGCUCGGCAUCGAGCAGAGGGAAAAGGAGCAAUCCGCUUUGAGAUGGCCUCGCGUCCGAUUAGCUAGUUGGUGAGGUAAUGGCCCACCAAGGCGACGAUCGGUAGCCGGACUGAGAGGUUGAACGGCCACAUUGGGACUGAGACACGGCCCAGACUCCUACGGGAGGCAGCAGUGGGGAAUAUUGCACAAUGGGGGAAACCCUGAUGCAGCGACGCCGCGUGGAGGAAGAAGGUCUUCGGAUUGUAAACUCCUGUUGUUGAGGAAGAUAAUGACGGUACUCAACAAGGAAGUGACGGCUAACUACGUGCCAGCAGCCGCGGUAAAACGUAGGUCACAAGCGUUGUCCGGAAUUACUGGGUGUAAAGGGAGCGCAGGCGGGAAGACAAGUUGGAAGUGAAAUCCAUGGGCUCAACCCAUGAACUGCUUUCAAAACUGUUUUUCUUGAGUAGUGCAGAGGUAGGCGGAAUUCCCGGUGUAGCGGUGGAAUGCGUAGAUAUCGGGAGGAACACCAGUGGCGAAGGCGGCCUACUGGGCACCAACUGACGCUGAGGCUCGAAAGUGUGGGUAGCAAACGGGAUUAGAUACCCUGGUAGUCCACACUGUAAACGAUGAUUACUAGGUGUUGGAGGAUUGACCCCUUCAGUGCCGCAGUUAACACAAUAAGUAAUCCACCUGGGGAGUACGACCGCAAGGUUGCAACUCAAAGGAAUUGACGGA
Molecule: ribosomal RNA, 903 nt
Filed under: uncultured organism
Description: bacterial SSU rRNA
Rfam family: Bacterial small subunit ribosomal RNA
Source: RNAcentral